Molecule: ribosomal RNA, 1408 nt
Filed under: Pseudomonas sp.
Lineage: Bacteria; Pseudomonadati; Pseudomonadota; Gammaproteobacteria; Pseudomonadales; Pseudomonadaceae
Description: bacterial SSU rRNA
Rfam family: Bacterial small subunit ribosomal RNA
Source: RNAcentral
AUGCAGUCGAGCGGANGACANGGAGCUUGCUCCUGGAUUCAGCGGCGGACGGGUGAGUAAUGCCUAGGAAUCUGCCUGGUAGUGGGGGACAACGUUUCGAAAGGAACGCUAAUACCGCAUACGUCCUACGGGAGAAAGCAGGGGACCUUCGGGCCUUGCGCUAUCAGAUGAGCCUAGGUCGGAUUAGCUUGUUGGUGAGGUAAUGGCUCACCAAGGCGACGAUCCGUAACUGGUCUGAGAGGAUGAUCAGUCACACUGGAACUGAGACACGGUCCAGACUCCUACGGGAGGCAGCAGUGGGGAAUAUUGGACAAUGGGCGAAAGCCUGAUCCAGCCAUGCCGCGUGUGUGAAGAAGGUCUUCGGAUUGUAAAGCACUUUAAGUUGGGAGGAAGGGUUGUAGAUUAAUACUCUGCAAUUUUGACGUUACCGACAGAAUAAGCACCGGCUAACUCUGUGCCAGCAGCCGCGGUAAUACAGAGGGUGCAAGCGUUAAUCGGAAUUACUGGGCGUAAAGCGCGCGUAGGUGGUUUGUUAAGUUGGAUGUGAAAGCCCCGGGCUCAACCUGGGAACUGCAUCCAAAACUGGCAAGCUAGAGUACGGUAGAGGGUGGUGGAAUUUCCUGUGUAGCGGUGAAAUGCGUAGAUAUAGGAAGGAACACCAGUGGCGAAGGCGACCACCUGGACUGAUACUGACACUGAGGUGCGAAAGCGUGGGGAGCAAAACAGGAUUAGAUACCCUGGUAGUCCACGCCGUAAACGAUGUCAACUAGCCGUUGGAAUCCUUGAGAUNUUUAGUGGCGCAGCUAACGCAUUAAGUUGACCGCCUGGGGAGUACGGCCGCAAGGUUAAAACUCAAAUGAAUUGACGGGGGCCCGCACAAGCGGUGGAGCAUGUGGUUUAAUUCGAAGCAACGCGAAGAACCUUACCAGGCCUUGACAUGCAGAGAACUUUCCAGAGAUGGAUUGGUGCCUUCGGGAACUCUGACACAGGUGCUGCAUGGCUGUCGUCAGCUCGUGUCGUGAGAUGUUGGGUUAAGUCCCGUAACGAGCGCAACCCUUGUCCUUAGUUACCAGCACGUUAUGGUGGGCACUCUAAGGAGACUGCCGGUGACAAACCGGAGGAAGGUGGGGAUGACGUCAAGUCAUCAUGGCCCUUACGGCCUGGGCUACACACGUGCUACAAUGGUCGGUACAGAGGGUUGCCAAGCCGCGAGGUGGAGCUAAUCUCACAAAACCGAUCGUAGUCCGGAUCGCAGUCUGCAACUCGACUGCGUGAAGUCGGAAUCGCUAGUAAUCGCGAAUCAGAAUGUCGCGGUGAAUACGUUCCCGGGCCUUGUACACACCGCCCGUCACACCAUGGGAGUGGGUUGCACCAGAAGUAGCUAGUCUAACCUUCGGGNGGACGGUAC